CGCAAUGAGUUUUUAGGAACUACC
RNAcentral lists this non-coding RNA (24 nucleotides) under Arabidopsis thaliana (thale cress). The record is from RNAcentral. Lineage: Eukaryota; Viridiplantae; Streptophyta; Magnoliopsida; Brassicales; Brassicaceae.